GCGGUGGAUGAUGUGGAUUAAUUCGAUGCAACGCGAAAACCUUACCUACCCUUGACAUGUCCGGAAUCCCGAAGAGAUUUGGGAGUGCUCGCAAGAGAACCGGAACACAGGUGCUGCAUGGCUGUCGUCAGCUCGUGUCGUGAGAUGUUGGGUUAAAGUCCCCGCAACGAGCGCAACCCUUGUCAUUAGUUGCCAUCAUUUGGUUGGGCACUCUAAUGAGACUGCCGGUGACAAACCGGAGGAAGGUGGGGAUGACGUCAAGUCCUCAUGGCCCUUAUGGGUAGGGCUUCACACGUCAUACAAUGGCUGGUACAAAGGGUUGCCAACCCGCGAGGGGGAGCUAAUCCCACAAAGCCAGUCGUAGUCCGGAUCGUAGUCUGCAACUCGACUACGUGAAGUCGGAAUCGCUAGUAAUCGUGGAUCAGAAUGUCACGGUGAAUACGUUCCCGGGUCUU
RNAcentral lists this ribosomal RNA (455 nucleotides) under uncultured Rhodocyclaceae bacterium. RNAcentral describes it as "bacterial SSU rRNA". It matches the Rfam family "Bacterial small subunit ribosomal RNA", at positions 929 to 1382 of the family's 1533-position model. The record is from RNAcentral. Lineage: Bacteria; Pseudomonadati; Pseudomonadota; Betaproteobacteria; Rhodocyclales; Rhodocyclaceae.